GACGUAGGGGGCGAGCGUUGUCCGGAUUCAUUGGGCGUAAAGAGCGCGUAGGCGGCUCAGUAAGUCAGGUGUGAAACCCCCGGGCUCAACCCGGGGACGCCACCUGAUACUGCUGUGGCUAGAGUCCGGUAGGGGAGCGUGGAAUUCCUGGUGUAGCGGUGAAAUGCGCAGAUAUCAGGAGGAACACCAAUGGCGAAGGCAGCACUCUGGGACGUGACUGACGCUGAGACGCGAAAGCGUGGGGAGCAAACAGG
Molecule: ribosomal RNA, 254 nt
Filed under: uncultured bacterium
Lineage: Bacteria
Description: partial 16S ribosomal RNA
Rfam family: Bacterial small subunit ribosomal RNA
Source: RNAcentral